GACGAACGCUGGCGGCGUGCUUAACACAUGCAAGUCGAACGGAAAGGCCCUGCUUUUGUGGGGUGCUCGAGUGGCGAACGGGUGAGUAACACGUGAGUAACCUGCCCUUGACUUUGGGAUAACUUCAGGAAACUGGGGCUAAUACCGGAUAGGAGCUCCUGCUGCAUGGUGGGGGUUGGAAAGUUUCGGCGGUUGGGGAUGGACUCGCGGCUUAUCAGCUUGUUGGUGGGGUAGUGGCUUACCAAGGCUUUGACGGGUAGCCGGCCUGAGAGGGUGACCGGCCACAUGGGGACUGAGAUACGGCCCAGACUCCUACGGGAGGCAGCAGUGGGGAUUAUUGCACAAGGGGCGGAAGCCUGAUGCAGCAACGCCGCGUGCGGGAUGACGGCCUUCGGGUUGUAAACCGCUUUCGCCUGUGACGAAGCGUGAGUGACGGUAAUGGGUAAAGAAGCACCGGCUAACUACGUG
Molecule: ribosomal RNA, 468 nt
Filed under: uncultured bacterium
Lineage: Bacteria
Description: partial 16S ribosomal RNA
Rfam family: Bacterial small subunit ribosomal RNA
Source: RNAcentral